CAGUCGCCACGGGAAUACGUAGGUGGCAAGCGUUGUCCGGAAUUAUUGGGCGUAAAGGGCUCGCAGGCGGUUUCUUAAGUCUGAUGUGAAAGCCCCCGGCUCAACCGGGGAGGGUCAUUGGAAACUGGGAAACUUGAGUGCAGAAGAGGAGAGUGGAAUUCCACGUGUAGCGGUGAAAUGCGUAGAGAUGUGGAGGAACACCGGUGGCGAAGGCGACUCUCUGGUCUGUAACUGACGCUGAGGAGCGAAAGCGUGGGGAGCAAACAGGAUUAGAUACCCGCGUAGUCCCUGUCUCUUAUAC
This 301-nucleotide ribosomal RNA is filed under the name uncultured bacterium. RNAcentral describes it as "partial 16S ribosomal RNA". It matches the Rfam family "Bacterial small subunit ribosomal RNA", at positions 509 to 807 of the family's 1533-position model. The record is from RNAcentral.